UGCUACGGUGAAUACGUUCCCGGACCUUGUACACACCGCCCGUCAAGCCAUGGAAGCCGGGUGUACCUAAAGUCGGUAACCGUAAGGAGCCGCCUAGGGUAAAACUAGUAACUGGGGCU
RNAcentral lists this ribosomal RNA (119 nucleotides) under uncultured bacterium. RNAcentral's name for it is "partial 16S ribosomal RNA". It matches the Rfam family "Bacterial small subunit ribosomal RNA", at positions 1355 to 1482 of the family's 1533-position model. The record is from RNAcentral.